This 448-nucleotide ribosomal RNA is filed under the name uncultured bacterium. RNAcentral describes it as "SSU rRNA". It matches the Rfam family "Bacterial small subunit ribosomal RNA", at positions 26 to 518 of the family's 1533-position model. The record is from RNAcentral.
AGAACGAACGCUGGCGGCAGGCCUCAAACAUGCAAGUCUAGGGGGCGUAGCAAUACGUCACCGGCGGACGGGUGCGUAACACGUGGGAAUGUACUUACUGGUUCGGAACAACUCAGGGAAACUUGAGCUAAUACCGAAUGUGCCCGAAAGGGGAAAGAUUUAUCGCCAGUAAAUCAGCCCGCGUCCGAUUAGCUAGUUGGCGGGGUAAAGGCCCACCAAGGCGACGAUCGGUAGCUGUUCUGAGAGGAAGAUCAGCCACACUGGGACUGAGACACGGCCCCAGACUCCUACGGGAGGCAGCAGUUGGGAAUCUUGGACAAUGGGGAAACCCUGAUCCAGCCAUGCCGCGUGAGUGAUGAAGGCCUUCGGGUUGUAAAACUCUUUCGACGGGGACGAUAAUGACGGUACCCGUAGAAGAAGCUCCGGCUAACUUCGUGCCAGCAGCCGC